Lupinus albus (white lupine) is the source of this 289-nucleotide non-coding RNA. Lineage: Eukaryota; Viridiplantae; Streptophyta; Magnoliopsida; Fabales; Fabaceae. The record is from the annotation of a GenBank genome assembly.
GGUGGCUACGCCUACAGAGGAUGCAACACCGUGACCGAUUUGUGUUUGCAUAAGGAAAUGGGAAUGCUCCCUAAACUCACAUUCCUUUCUCCAUUUCUCAUCGGAAGCAGCAGAGAAGACAAAGGGAGAGAACUCCCUAAAUUCAUUCCUUCAUCUUCUUCUUUUUCUGGCAAUGGUGACAACAAAUAAGGGUGAACCCCUAAUCCUCCGAGGACAGCGACAAAGACACAUACUCGUGGCGAAGGCUAUACAAUGUUCCACCUUCAACAAUUAUGGGUUCAUGUAGAGG